UACGGAGGGUGCGAGCGUUAAUCGGAAUUACUGGGCGUAAAGCGCACGCAGGCGGCUUGGUAAGUCUGGUGUGAAAUCCCCGGGCUCAACCUGGGAACUGCAUUCGAAACUGCCUUGCUAGAGUAUGGGAGAGGGAAGUGGAAUUUCCGGUGUAGCGGUGAAAUGCGUAGAUAUCGGAAGGAACAUCAGGGGCGAAGGCGACGUCCUGGACCAAUACUGACGCUCAGGUGCGAAAGCGUGGGGAGCAAACAGG
This 253-nucleotide ribosomal RNA is filed under the name uncultured bacterium. RNAcentral's name for it is "partial 16S ribosomal RNA". It matches the Rfam family "Bacterial small subunit ribosomal RNA", at positions 524 to 776 of the family's 1533-position model. The record is from RNAcentral.